Triticum dicoccoides is the source of this 2236-nucleotide long non-coding RNA. RefSeq lists it as uncharacterized. The transcript has 3 exons. NCBI's taxonomy places the organism in Eukaryota, Viridiplantae, Streptophyta, Magnoliopsida, Poales, Poaceae. The record is from RefSeq and is a predicted model, not a curated record.
UCCCCGCCGCUGCCCACGACGGCAUCUCCUCCCUCCUCGCUUCCCUUCACGCCGAUGUCGCCGCCUAUGCCUCCGUGUCUCUCGCCCGCCUCUUGGCUGCCCGCGCCGAUCCUCUCGCCCGUGACAACGGAUCCUCCCCUCCCCAACAUCUCUCGCGACCUAGGCGAGUCCUCCCGACACCGUCGCCGGUUAGAGCAACCGGAGCAGCGAUGCCCGACAACUUGCCCGGUGAAACUGGAGAGAGACAAUGAUUAUAUGGUCAUGGCAUGAUGCAGAUUUUCCCAGCGGAGCUGAGGAGAGGCGAAGAAGACAGUGGACAUGAUGCUCCUGCGCGUGGAGCUCCUCUGCACCACUCCACGACCCAUCUUCUUUUCGCUGCGAGCCAUCCGGUAAACAAGCCCGUGGCCACUUUGCCGCAGGCGGACACGAUGCUACUCGGUGCACAACCCGCAGUGGGCGCUGAAGGUGUUCCGAAGAGCAAUGGAGGGGGCGGAUCCAGCGCACGUCACGGUGUUCUUCAGUCAGCCUCGCUGACCAGUUGCAGGCACACCGUGACAUGCCGCUCGAGGAGUACCAGGAUAAUCAAUUUGGGGUUAAUACAAGGUCCACGCCUCCCUAACAAUUCGUAUUAUAGAUGUAUGCAUGUGCUAAGAUUUGUCUUGCCUUGUUCUGAUUUUGAUGGCUGGCAGUCAAGUGUCUAUUCUCGAGAUUGGAUGGACUCUCAUUCCAACAUUUUCCUUGUGGUUGUUCUUGGGCUACUAUUAAAUGAGUGGUAUGUGCUUGCUGUUCAUUCUUUUAUGUAUAUCGACAUCAUGGAUUGAGACCAUAUUUACUCUAUUUUUAUUCAUGAUGUUCUCUCUACUCAAAAAAAUGAAUGGAAGUUCUCCAGCUUGAUGUAUUCAAGCUCGGUUGUGAUAGAUUGGCCUGGUUCUGCUGGGUUGUAAGGCGAGGCACUGAUUUCUACUUUAAUGUUUUUUUCCAGAGAGUAUUAUGUUUGAAUGCCCACGUCAUCCUUGUUGAAAGUGCAAAUGACUACAAUGUGACAUUCUUUUUUUAAUACCAAAAAGUUCAAAGCUUUAUAAAAAAAAUUGAAACAUAAUUGCUUUGGCAUGUUCAAAAGUAUACUGCAAUACUAGUAAUUUCAGUGCCCAUUCUGAAGUGCCAAUAUCUGAAUGCUAAAUCUGAACUAACAAGCUCCAACAUGCAAAAUUGGCAUGACAUCGAUCUUUAGCAGUCUCUAGAGGCACUAGAACAUGACAAGAACUUUUUCUAUUUAACAUUCUAUUGCUCAUUUUCCUACUUUUAUAUCGGAAGCUAACCAAAAUUUGGGUGGUUGAUAUUUUUACCUACUCUAUAUUUUCUAGCUUGACGGAUUUUGAAGGUGAGGUACUGAUUUUUACAUUAUUUCAUUGGUGGGCUAUGUUUUGUAUGGACUCGUAAGAUUUUUUUUUCCUCACCACCUGAUGUUAUAUACUUUGUGGUAUUGAGAAGCCACAGUACGGAACCAAAGCUUUGAACUGUAGUUUUCCUACUUAAUAUUCAUUGCUAAAUUUCUCAUUUUAUCAGUAGUUGAAUCUCUAUUUUGUUCUUGUGUAAAAAAGGUGCUUCAGUACUGCCCUUUGUAUGCAAUAGGGAAAUGGUCUCUUUGUUCAUCAUGAGAAACAAUAGUUUAAAAUUUAGAAAUGCUUAUGGAGAUUACAAUAUUAGUCAUGUGAUCCACAUCGGAAUUUUUAUAUCAUUGCUGAUGCACCAAGUUGUUUUGUGGGCAGAUCAAGAAUGUCUACCGCAUGUUGGGUCAAGGUGACAGAACACAAUUCAUCCCAUUAUCACUAUGGGUGUAUGAUGGUAUAGUUUGAGUGAUGUUCAUACUUGGCAUUCUUCGUCAGAAUAGUGGUAUGAGGAAAGGCUUCAAAAUAAGGGAACAGAAAUGUUACAGCGUUACACGUGUGCUCAACAUCAUUUGCCAUUAUUCAUGUUAGAGAUAAUUCAGUGACCUUAAUUAUGAUAACCUUGGAUAAUGUCUGCUCCUCGUGAUGAUUGCUAUUCUUCUGCUGGUAUGUAGGUGAGUGAGAGAGUUUCUCUACUGUAGUUUGUUGGAGUUACCAUUCUUCAAAAAUUUCUUAAUGGAUGCAAUCAACAGUUCUUAGAUGAUAUGUAUUCUAAAUUAAGACAUAGACAAUAUAAGUUACCAUUUUUUACAAAUUUCUGAAUGGAUAUGAUACACAGUUCUUAGACA